Molecule: ribosomal RNA, 253 nt
Filed under: uncultured prokaryote
Description: partial 16S ribosomal RNA
Rfam family: Bacterial small subunit ribosomal RNA
Source: RNAcentral
UACGAAGGGUGCUAGCGUUAUUCGGAAUAAUUGGGCGUAAAGGGUGCGUAGACGGCGUAUUAAGUCAACUGUUAAAUUCUCCGGCCUAACUGGGGGUCAGCGGUAGAAACUGAUAUGCUAGAGGAUGAAAGAGAGAAGUGGAAUUCUCGGAGUAGCGGUAAAAUGCGUAGAUCUCGAGAGGAACACCGAUGGCGAAGGCAGCUUCUUGGUUCAUUCCUGACGUUGAGGCACGAAAGCGUGGGAAGCAAACAGG